AGGACCAGGGAUGUUCUCUGUUUAGUGAGUCCUCCAGAUCAGAGGCAGUAGGGAGGACCAGGGAUGUUCUCUGUUUAGUGAGUCCUCCAGAUCAGAGGCAGUAGGGAUGUUCUCUUGAUAAGUGCGUAAAUUAGACUAUUUCCUGUCCGGCUAAACAUUCUAAAUGUAACGAAUUUCAGGGAAAAUGUAAGGAGUAAAAAGUACAUUAUUUUCAUUAAAAAUGUAGUGGAGUGAAACCUAAAGUUGUCAAAAAUAUAAAUUAAGUACAGAUGCCCCCAAAAAACGUAAUAAGUACUUUACACCACUAGUAGUUAGUCUGUAGCAAUAACUGGGAGCAUAUAUACAUAGUUCAAAGAGAGAUGUUGCCAUGUUUGUGUCCACAGUACAAAACACAAGACUGACAGUCAGUGCCAGAAGUGGCCCCUGCUGUGUCCACAGUACAAACCACAGGACUGACAGUCAGUGCCAGAAGUGGCCCCUGCUGUGUCCACGGUACAAAACACAGGACUGACAGUCAGUGCCAGAAGUGGCCCCUGCUGUGUCCACGGUACAAACCACAGGACUGACAGUCAGUGCCAGAAGUGGCCCCUGCUGUGUCCACAGUACAAACCACAGGACUGACAGUCAGUGCCAGAAGUGGCCCCUGCUGUGUCCACGGUACAAACCACAGGACUGACAGUCAGUGCCAGAAGUGGCCCCUGCUGUGUCCACGGUACAAACCACAGGACUGACAGUCAGUGCCAGAAGUGGCCCCUGCUGUGUCCACGGUACAAACCACAGGACUGACAGUCAGUGCCAGAAGUGACCCCUGCUGUGUCCACGGUACAAAACACACAUUACUCAAAGAAAUAAACAAAAAAGCUCACAAAUUAACUGGAAAAACAGAAUAACAGAUUUGCAUCUAGGCUACAUUGACCUUUUCUCCUGCACUACCUCCGUUUUGCCAACAGAGGGCGCCAUUGUUUUACUGCUAGUGAAAUCUCCUAAUCAAUCUGCAGUAGAAAAAAUAAAGAAGUAGUUUUUUUUUUUAAUGCUUCACGUUUCAUCAGAGGAGAGGAGAGGAACGUGACCGGGCAGCUGCUGCUAGAACAUGAUUUGAUCGUCCUCGUUAAAUCAACAGUCAGACUAGAUGACUAAAGGUUCAAAUAAGAGUCUACUGUGUAUGGUUUAAUAAGUGCUUGGCUGGUUGGAUACAAGGAGAUUUGUUACGAAGAAAUAUGGACUCAUUUUGGGGAAAUAGAUUAGAUCAUUGUGUAGGACAGUUAUUCCCAGUGUAGCUAAACUAUUCACCUGCUCGGUGGUACUUGGAGCCAGCCAGCUAGUUGCUAUUCCAUUGCAUCAUGCUAAGUCAAGAGAUCUAGAGUCAGGAUGGUCAGGAUGUCCUGUUAAAACAGAAGCAGAGUCAGGAUGUCCUGUUAAAACAGAAUACAACAGGUGUAGUAGACCUUACAGUGAAAUGCUGAAUACAACAGGUGUAGUAGACCUUACAGUGAAAUGCUGAAUACAACAGGUGUAGUAGACCUUACAGUGAAAUGCUGAAUACAACAGGUGUAGUAGACCUCACAGUGAAAUGCUGAAUACAACAGGUGUAGUAGACCUCACAGUGAAAUGCUGAAUACAACAGGUGUAGUAGACCUUACAGUGAAAUGCUGAAUACAACAGGUGUAGUAGACCUUACAGUGAAAUGCUGAAUACAACAGGUGUAGUAGACCUCACAGCGAAAUGCUGAAUACAACAGGUGUAGUAGACCUCACAGUGAAAUGCUGAAUACAACAGGUGUAGUAGACCUCACAGUGAAAUGCUGAAUACAACAGGUGUAGUAGACCUCACAGUGAAAUGCUGAAUACAACAGGUGUAGUAGACCUUACAGUGAAAUGCUGAAUACAACAGGUGUAGUAGACCUUACAGUGAAAUGCUGAAUACAACAGGUGUAGUUGACCUCACAGUGAAAUGCUGAAUACAACAGGUGUAGU
Oncorhynchus keta (chum salmon) is the source of this 1973-nucleotide long non-coding RNA. RefSeq lists it as uncharacterized. The transcript has 4 exons. NCBI's taxonomy places the organism in Eukaryota, Metazoa, Chordata, Actinopteri, Salmoniformes, Salmonidae. The record is from RefSeq and is a predicted model, not a curated record.